Long non-coding RNA from Triticum aestivum (bread wheat), 136 nucleotides. RefSeq lists it as uncharacterized. The record is from RefSeq and is a predicted model, not a curated record. The transcript has 3 exons. NCBI's taxonomy places the organism in Eukaryota, Viridiplantae, Streptophyta, Magnoliopsida, Poales, Poaceae.
ACCACGCUCUUCCGAUUCUCUUUUCCGAAGUUACACCUACAACUACUCAUUGAAAAUAAUCCUAUUCUUAUGGGUAAAUGCUCAAUAUCCAAGUGGGCUUACAAAUUUGAUCAUGAUCAAUUGCUUUGUGGAUUGU